This 285-nucleotide ribosomal RNA is filed under the name uncultured prokaryote. Its description in RNAcentral is "partial 16S ribosomal RNA". It matches the Rfam family "Bacterial small subunit ribosomal RNA", at positions 524 to 819 of the family's 1533-position model. The record is from RNAcentral.
UACGUAGGGGGCUAGCGUUAUCCGGAAUUACUGGGCGUAAAGGGUGCGUAGGUGGUUUCUUAAGUCAGAGGUGAAAGGCUACGGCUCAACCGUAGUAAGCCUUUGAAACUGGGAAACUUGAGUGCAGGAGAGGAGAGUGGAAUUCCUAGUGUAGCGGUGAAAUGCGUAGAUAUUAGGAGGAACACCAGUUGCGAAGGCGGCUCUCUGGACUGUAACUGACACUGAGGCACGAAAGCGUGGGGAGCAAACAGGAUUAGAUACCCCCGUAGUCCCUGAGCGGGCUGG